UACGUAGGGUGCGAGCGUUAAUCGGAAUUACUGGGCGUAAAGCGUGCGCAGGCGGUUUUGUAAGCCAGAUGUGAAAUCCCCGGGCUUAACCUGGGAAUGGCAUUUGGGACUGCAAGGCUCGAGUGCGGCAGAGGAGACUGGAAUUCCCGGUGUAGCAGUGAAAUGCGUAGAUAUCGGGAGGAAUACCGAUGGCGAAGGCAGGUCUCUGGGCUGACACUGACGCUCAUGCACGAAAGCGUGGGGAGCAAACAGG
Molecule: ribosomal RNA, 253 nt
Filed under: uncultured bacterium
Lineage: Bacteria
Description: partial 16S ribosomal RNA
Rfam family: Bacterial small subunit ribosomal RNA
Source: RNAcentral